Molecule: long non-coding RNA, 1605 nt
Filed under: Marmota monax (woodchuck)
Lineage: Eukaryota; Metazoa; Chordata; Mammalia; Rodentia; Sciuridae
Source: RNAcentral
GGCGGGGACAUGCCCAAGGCCUUGUCUCCGGGAAUCGCUGCCUGGUCCCCCCAAUGCAGGCCACAGGGCCUGGUCCUGAUGAAACGUCUGUGCCCUGCCCUUCAGGACACGUACUCUAAGUCUCAGUGACAGCUUCAGUCCCCCUUUGCCAAGAUGCGGGCCGGGUCCCUCUGAUGCCCUCCCCGCCCCCCGUCCACUCACCGGCUGGUUCUGUGGACCCGUUCCCAGCCCCCCUUUGCAGACAGGGAGCCUGACAUGGGAGAGGGGACGGGGUCGCCAGGGUGUCUGGCUGGUAAGGGGCAGAGUGGGAUUUGUCCCGGGCCCCUCCAUCACCCGCGCUCACACCAGCCCUCGGCCUGUCUGCUUUAGAGAAGGGGCGGCCUGCGGGGGCAUUUUGCUCUUCUCUGCUGGCCAAGGUCACACAGACAGGUGUGUGGUCACAGGCAGAGGCUGCUGUGGGCUUGGCAAACUCAGCUGGGGUGGCUCCUGGGCCACCAGAGUCUCCGUCAUGGACCAGAGAGCCACGUGGGGGACACAGUGGCCGGCACGUGGAAGCCCUGGAGCCACUGACCAGGCUGCUGUUGGCUCCCGCCGUGAGGCAGUGAGGAGGCCCCCCAGGCCAUAGCAGCCCUGCCAGAGGCUCCUCCGGUGGGGCCUGGCUGGAGGAGGGGGCAGGGUUAGGUCAGCAAGGACACAGUCAGACGCCCCUGGCCAGUGCCUGUCCCUGCAGGCUUCUCAGCGCCACAGGGUCCCUUCCCCCCUCAAGCACAUACCUGUGCCUGACACGGCUUCAAGUGCUGCCACACGGCGAGCUCAGCCAAAGGAGCUGGGCACUGUGGCUUGCCCCUGAUGAGACGUUCUAGGACCUGGGGCAGUACUACUCCUACAGCUCUUUCUUGUUUUCUGGUAGUGGGGACUGAGCCCCGGUGUGCUUAACCCUGAGCCACAUCCCCAGCCCUUUUAACUUUUUGAGACAGGGUCUAAGUUGCUGAGGCUGGCCUCGAACUUACGAUCCUCCUUCCUCAGCCUCUCGAGUUCCUCGGGUUCCAGGUGUGAGCCACGGAGCGGCCUUUACAGGCUCUUCACGGAUGUGCUCCGGUGAGGCCAUGAGACCCUGUCACAUGAGAAGACUGGGACCCAGAAUCAAUGAGCAGGGUCUCCCUGGCCCCCUGACCCUCAGGUGGCCCUGCCUCCUCUUGGGCUCCCUGGCAUCUGCGCUCAGCCAGGGCCACUUCCGCCCUAGAAUCCCCCGGGGACGGCAGCAGAGUGCUCCUCUCCCCCGGGAUCUGGGGGUUUGGGUCGUGCCGUUCGCCGUGUUUCCCGACACCUUGCACCCACGUGGCACUAGGGCCCCCUGUGUGUGGUGACAGAUCCCACAGGGUCCACGUGUGUCCUCAGAGCGGGGCGUGGUCAGGGGUUUUACCUCUUCUGUUCUGUCCCCACACAGCCGGGACGACCCUGGGGUGAGGCCGGGCAGGAGCCCACAUCAGCUCCUGGUGUCGUGGGUCACCAUGGCGCUGGGAGAACAGGCAGCAGGGUGGCAGCUAGGGACAGAAGCCAGGAGGUCACCGAGGAAGCCCCAGUGGGGACACAAGAGCAAGAGGG